RNAcentral lists this ribosomal RNA (492 nucleotides) under uncultured bacterium. Its description in RNAcentral is "bacterial SSU rRNA". It matches the Rfam family "Bacterial small subunit ribosomal RNA", at positions 28 to 507 of the family's 1533-position model. The record is from RNAcentral.
GACGAACGCUGGCGGCGCGCCUAACACAUGCAAGUCGAACGGAGUAAAUCGCUGAAUUGAUAGCAGCUUGCUGAAGGAAAUUCUUGAUUUACUUAGUGGCGGACGGGUGAGUAACACGUGAGCAACCUGCCUGUAAGAGGGGGAUAACGUCGGGAAACUGACGCUAAUACCGCAUAACAUCAGAGAUUGGCAUCAAUUUUUGAUCAAAGGAGCAAUCCGCUUAUAGAUGGGCUCGCGUCCGAUUAGCUAGGUGGUGAGAUAACAGCCCACCAUGGCGACGAUCGGUAGCCGGACUGAGAGGUUGAUCGGCCACAUUGGGACUGAGACACGGCCCAGACUCCUACGGGAGGCAGCAGUGGGGGAUAUUGCACAAUGGGGGAAACCCUGAUGCAGCGACGCCGCGUGAGGGAAGAAGGUUUUCGGAUUGUAAACCUCUGUUGACGGAGAAAAAAAUGAAUGGUAUCCGUUUAGAAAGCCACGGCUAACUACGUG